This 468-nucleotide ribosomal RNA is filed under the name uncultured bacterium. RNAcentral's name for it is "partial 16S ribosomal RNA". It matches the Rfam family "Bacterial small subunit ribosomal RNA", at positions 28 to 507 of the family's 1533-position model. The record is from RNAcentral.
GACGAACGCUGGCGGCGUGCUUAACACAUGCAAGUCGAACGGAAAGGCCCUGCUUUUGUGGGGUGCUCGAGUGGCGAACGGGUGAGUAACACGUGAGUAACCUGCCCUUGACUUUGGGAUAACUUCAGGAAACUGGGGCUAAUACCGGAUAGGAGCUCCUGCUGCAUGGUGGGGGUUGGAAAGUUUCGGCGGUUGGGGAUGGACUCGCGGCUUAUCAGCUUGUUGGUGGGGUAGUGGCUUACCAAGGCUUUGACGGGUAGCCGGCCUGAGAGGGUGACCGGCCACAUUGGGACUGAGAUACGGCCCAGACUCCUACGGGAGGCAGCAGUGGGGAAUAUUGGCCAAUGGGAGGAAGCCGGAUGCAGCAACGCCGCGGGCGGGAUGACGGCCUUCGGGUUGGAAACCGCUUUCGCCUGUGACGAAGCGUGAGUGACGGUAAUGGGUAAAGAAGCACCGGCUAACUACGUG